CUGUGUUUGUGCUGUUUCAGAUUCAGACAGCUGGUGUUGUGUUGGUGAUUGUUACACUAAUCAUCUGCUCAAUUACGCAGGAAUGGUGCUGAGAGAUGAGGGAAGGCUCCACUCUGUUCUCCGAGCACUCCAGCUCACCUUCUUGGAAAGAAAAAAAUCUUUCUCCAGGAAGUAGCAAAGCCAUUUUAGGCAACAUCCUGCCAUGGCACUGUCAACUGUCUGGUUUGGAAGUGCCUGCGGUGUGUCCAAAGGAUACCGGAGCUGCAUUUUUCCAAUGGUUGGUUUCCUGAGGGAGGGACUGUGCCUGGAGAGCUGGCUGGGGGAGAAAGCUAGGUUCCUUGUAUUCUGCUAAGAAAGCACUGGAGAAAGUAGAGUGUUCUUUCCACCAAGCUGUCAAACUCAUCAGUCAUCUCACGAUUGCCUUGGUCUGGCUUCAAAUCCAUAGCAACGGAGGCAGAGGAUCAUGGGUAGUGCUGACAAAAAUGCUAAAGAACCAUGGAAGGUUGUUGGCCAGCUAGAAGCCGCAGGCUCCAGCUCUGUCUUGAUUCCUUCUGUAUUAGAAGAGGAAGGGCUACUCGAUGCCCUCAUGCCUGGCAACAGAAGGGCGCUGAAG
Long non-coding RNA from Silurus meridionalis, 613 nucleotides. RefSeq lists it as uncharacterized. The record is from RefSeq and is a predicted model, not a curated record. Lineage: Eukaryota; Metazoa; Chordata; Actinopteri; Siluriformes; Siluridae. The transcript has 5 exons.